ACAUGUCAUUUUUCAUAUCAGACCCUUUAUCGGCCCUCGUUCAUGAUAUCAGCCCUCGAGCCUCCGGCUCUUGGGCUGAUAUCACAACCUUGGGCCGAUAAAGGGUUUGAUAUGAAAAAUGCCAUGUAAUAAUC
Molecule: small RNA, 134 nt
Filed under: Mytilus galloprovincialis (Mediterranean mussel)
Lineage: Eukaryota; Metazoa; Mollusca; Bivalvia; Mytilida; Mytilidae
Source: RNAcentral